RNAcentral lists this ribosomal RNA (587 nucleotides) under Microbotryum dianthorum. RNAcentral's name for it is "LSU rRNA". It matches the Rfam family "Eukaryotic large subunit ribosomal RNA", at positions 51 to 635 of the family's 3401-position model. Lineage: Eukaryota; Fungi; Basidiomycota; Microbotryomycetes; Microbotryales; Microbotryaceae. The record is from RNAcentral.
CGGAGGAAAAGAAACUAACAAGGAUUCCCCUAGUAACGGCGAGUGAAGCGGGAAAAGCUCAAAUUUGUAAUCUGGCGCCUUCGGCGUCCGAGUUGUAAUCUCGAGAAGUAUUUUCCGCGCUGGACCGCACAUAAGUCUGUUGGAAUACAGCGUCAUAGUGGUGAGAACCCCGUAUAGGGUGCGGAUGCCCAGUGCUUUGUGAUAUACUUUCGAAGAGUCGAGUUGUUUGGGAAUGCAGCUCAAAUGGGGUGGUAAAUUCCAUCUAAAGCUAAAUAUUGGCGAGAGACCGAUAGCGAACAAGUACCGUGAGGGAAAGAUGAAAAGCACUUUGGAAAGAGAGUUAACAGUACGUGAAAUUGUUGGAAGGGAAACGCUUGAAGUCAGACUUGCAUUUUGGAGUUCAGCCGCAAGGUGUAUUCUUCAAUUCGCAGGCCAGCAUCAGUUUCUGGGGGUGGAAAAGCGCGGCUGGAAGGUGGCAGUCUCGGCUGUGUUAUAGCUGGCCGCUGGAUUCACUUUUGGGGACUGAGGAACGCAGUACGCUUUUUGCAAGACCCUCGGGUCUUUCGUACUUAGGAUGCUGGUGAAGC